UACGUAGGUGGCAAGCGUUAUCCGGAUCUAUUGGGCGUAAAGGGAACGCAGGCGGUCUUUUAAGUCUGAUGUGAAAGCCUUCGGCUUAACCGGAGUAGUGCAUUGGAAACUGGGAGACUUGAGUGCAGAAGAGGAGAGUGGAACUCCAUGUGUAGCGGUGAAAUGCGUAGAUAUAUGGAAGAACACCAGUGGCGAAAGCGGCUCUCUGGUCUGUAACUGACGCUGAGGUUCGAAAGCGUGGGUAGCAAACAGG
Molecule: ribosomal RNA, 253 nt
Filed under: uncultured bacterium
Lineage: Bacteria
Description: partial 16S ribosomal RNA
Rfam family: Bacterial small subunit ribosomal RNA
Source: RNAcentral